CCCUUAGAUGUUCUGGGCCGCACGCGCGCUACACUGAUGCAUUCAACGAGCCUAUCCUUGACCGACAGGUCCGGGUAAUCUUUGAAUCUGCAUCGUGACGGGGAUAGAUUAUUGCAAUUAUUAAUCUUCAACGAGGAAUGCCUAGUAGGCGCAAGUCAUCAGCUUGCGUCGAUUACGUCCCUGCCCUUUGUACACACCGCCCGUCGCUACUACCGAUUGGAUGGCUUAGUGAGACCCUCGGACCGAUAGGCUGUCGCCGCGGCAACGUGGCGACCGGCCCGUCGGGAAGAAGGUCAAACUUGACUGUCUAGAGGAAGUAAAAGUCGUAACA
Molecule: ribosomal RNA, 331 nt
Filed under: uncultured eukaryote
Lineage: Eukaryota
Description: partial 18S ribosomal RNA
Rfam family: Eukaryotic small subunit ribosomal RNA
Source: RNAcentral